RNAcentral lists this ribosomal RNA (216 nucleotides) under Glomeromycotina sp. Its description in RNAcentral is "partial small subunit ribosomal RNA". The stretch from base 40 to 216 matches the Rfam family "Eukaryotic small subunit ribosomal RNA", at positions 686 to 864 of the family's 1831-position model. The record is from RNAcentral. Lineage: Eukaryota; Fungi; Glomeromycota.
GGGUCAGUAGGUUGGUCGUGCCACCGGUACGUACUGGUCUCACUGUUUCCUCCUUCCUGAAGAACCGUAAUGCCAUUAAUUUGGUGUUGCGGGGAAACAGGACUGUUACUUUGAAAAAAUUAGAGUGUUUAAAGCAAGCUAACGCUUGAAUACAUUAGCAUGGAAUAAUGAAAUAGGACGAUCGAUCCUAUUUUGUUGGUUUCUAGGAUUGACGUA